GACGAACGCUGGCGGCGUGCCUAAUACAUGCAAGUCGAGCGGACAGAUGGGAGCUUGCUCCCGGAAGUCAGCGGCGGACGGGUGAGUAACACGUGGCAACCUGCCUGUAAGACUGGGAUAACUUCGGGAAACCGGAGCUAAUACCGGAUACGUUCUUUUCUCGCAUGAGAGAAGAUGGAAAGAUGGUUUCGGCUAUCACUUACAGAUGGGCCCGCGGCGCAUUAGCUAGUUGGUGAGGUAAUGGCUCACCAAGGCAACGAUGCGUAGCCGACCUGAGAGGGUGAUCGGCCACACUGGGACUGAGACACGGCCCAGACUCCUACGGGAGGCAGCAGUAGGGAAUCUUCCGCAAUGGACGAAAGUCUGACGGAGCAACGCCGCGUGAACGAUGAAGGCCUUCGGGUCGUAAAGUUCUGUUGUUAGGGAAGAACAAGUACCAGAGUAACUGCUGGUACCUUGACGGUACCUAACCAGAAAGCCACGGCUAACUACGUGCCAGCAGCCGCCGUAA
Molecule: ribosomal RNA, 511 nt
Filed under: uncultured bacterium
Lineage: Bacteria
Description: partial 16S ribosomal RNA
Rfam family: Bacterial small subunit ribosomal RNA
Source: RNAcentral